This 62-nucleotide transfer RNA is filed under the name Onchidium reevesii. RNAcentral describes it as "tRNA-Gln". Lineage: Eukaryota; Metazoa; Mollusca; Gastropoda; Systellommatophora; Onchidiidae. The record is from RNAcentral.
UUCCCUUCGGUGUAUGGCACAGGAAAAUUUGAGUUUCCUAGAGAGAAAAUUCUUAAGGGAAC